Molecule: transfer RNA, 70 nt
Filed under: Megaerops niphanae (Ratanaworabhan's fruit bat)
Lineage: Eukaryota; Metazoa; Chordata; Mammalia; Chiroptera; Pteropodidae
Description: tRNA-Trp
Source: RNAcentral
AGGAACUUAGGUUAACCCUCAGACCAGGAGCCUUCAAAGCCCCCAGUAAAUGCAACACAUUUAGUUCCUG